RNAcentral lists this ribosomal RNA (386 nucleotides) under uncultured bacterium. RNAcentral describes it as "bacterial SSU rRNA". It matches the Rfam family "Bacterial small subunit ribosomal RNA", at positions 29 to 419 of the family's 1533-position model. The record is from RNAcentral.
AUUGAACGCUGGCGGAAUGCUUUACACAUGCAAGUCGAGCGGCAGCGCGGGGCAACCUGGCGGCGAGCGGCGAACGGGUGAGUAAUACAUCGGAACGUGCCCAGACGUGGGGGAUAACUACUCGAAAGAGUGGCUAAUACCGCAUACGAUCUAAGGAUGAAAGCGGGGGAUCGCAAGACCUCGCGCGUUUGGAGCGGCCGAUGGCAGAUUAGGUAGUUGGUGGGGUAAAGGCUUACCAAGCCCGCGAUCUGUAGCUGGUCUGAGAGGAUGAUCAGCCACACUGGGACUGAGACACGGCCCAGACUCCUACGGGAGGCAGCAGUGGGGAAUUUUGGACAAUGGGCGAAAGCCUGAUCCAGCAUUCCGCGUGCAGGAUGAAGGCCCUC